UAUACCGUGAAACUGCGAAUGGCUCAUUAAAUCAGUUAUCGUUUAUUUGAUAGUACCUUACUACUUGGAUAACCGUGGUAAUUCUAGAGCUAAUACAUGCUAAAAACCCCGACUUCGGGAGGGGUGUAUUUAUUAGAUAAAAAACCAAUGCCCUUCGGGGCUCUUUGGUGAUUCAUGAUAACUUAACGGAUCGCAUGGCCUUGCGCCGGCGACGGUUCAUUCAAAUUUCUGCCCUAUCAACUUUCGAUGGUAAGGUAUUGGCUUACCAUGGUUUCAACGGGUAACGGGGAAUUAGGGUUCGAUUCCGGAGAGGGAGCCUGAGAAACGGCUACCACAUCCAAGGAAGGCAGCAGGCGCGCAAAUUACCCAAUCCCGACUCGGGGAGGUAGUGACAAUAAAUACUGAUACAGGGCUCUUUUGGGUCUUGUAAUCGGAAUGAGUACAAUUUAAACCCCUUAACGAGGAACAAUUGGAGGGCAAGUCUGGUGCCAGCAGCCGCGGUAAUUCCAGCUCCAAUAGCGUAUAUUAAAGUUGUUGCAGUUAAAAAGCUCGUAGUUGAACCUUGGGCCUGGCUGGCCGGUCCGCCUCACCGCGUGUACUGGUCCGGCCGGGCCUUUCCUUCUGGAGAGCCGCAUGCCCUUCACUGGGUGUGUCGGGGAACCAGGACUUUUACUUUGAAAAAAUUAGAGUGUUCAAAGCAGGCCUUUGCUCGAAUACGUUAGCAUGGAAUAAUAGAAUAGGACGUGCGGUCCUAUUUUGUUGGUUUCUAGGACCGCCGUAAUGAUUAAUAGGGAUAGUCGGGGGCAUCAGUAUUCAAUUGUCAGAGGUGAAAUUCUUGGAUUUAUUGAAGACUAACUACUGCGAAAGCAUUUGCCAAGGAUGUUUUCAUUAAUCAGUGAACGAAAGUUAGGGGAUCGAAGACGAUCAGAUACCGUCGUAGUCUUAACCGUAAACUAUGCCGACUAGGGAUCGGGCGAUGUUUCUAUCUUGACUCGCUCGGCACCUUACGAGAAAUCAUAAG
This 1021-nucleotide ribosomal RNA is filed under the name Atrocalyx lignicola. Its description in RNAcentral is "SSU rRNA". It matches the Rfam family "Eukaryotic small subunit ribosomal RNA", at positions 75 to 1103 of the family's 1831-position model. Lineage: Eukaryota; Fungi; Ascomycota; Dothideomycetes; Pleosporales; Lophiotremataceae. RNAcentral also lists the same sequence under 5 other names. The record is from RNAcentral.